AGGGAUGUAGCGCAGCUUGGUAGCGCCUUUGUUUGGGGUACAAAAUCUCACGGGUUCCAAUCCUCUCAUCCCUA
Molecule: transfer RNA, 74 nt
Filed under: Cotinus coggygria
Lineage: Eukaryota; Viridiplantae; Streptophyta; Magnoliopsida; Sapindales; Anacardiaceae
Also listed under: 1 other name
Description: tRNA-Pro
Rfam family: tRNA
About the family: Transfer RNA (tRNA) molecules are approximately 80 nucleotides in length.
Source: RNAcentral